This 475-nucleotide ribosomal RNA is filed under the name uncultured organism. Its description in RNAcentral is "bacterial SSU rRNA". It matches the Rfam family "Bacterial small subunit ribosomal RNA", at positions 28 to 507 of the family's 1533-position model. The record is from RNAcentral.
GACGAACGCUGGCGGCGUGCCUAACACAUGCAAGUCGAGCGGGAGCAAGGCGGACGGUAACUGAAGCCUUGUUCUAGCGGCGGACGGGUGAGUAACGCGUGGGCAACCUGCCUUAAGGACUGGGAUAACAGCUCGAAAGGGCUGCUAAUACCGGAUGCGGUCACGGCCUCGCAUGGGGUUGUGAUCAAAGGGGAAACCCGCCUUAAGAUGGGCCCGCGUCCCAUCAGCUAGUUGGUGAGGUGAGAGCUCACCAAGGCGACGACGGGUAGCCGGCCUGAGAGGGUGAACGGCCACACUGGGACUGAGACACGGCCCAGACUCCUACGGGGGGCAGCAGUGGGGAAUCUUGCACAAUGGGCGAAAGCCUGAUGCAGCGACGCCGCGUGAGCGAAGAAGGCCUUCGGGUUGUAAAGCUCUGUCUGGAGGGACGAAACAAAUGACGGUACCUCCGGAGGAAGCCACGGCUAACUACGUG